Molecule: ribosomal RNA, 496 nt
Filed under: uncultured bacterium
Lineage: Bacteria
Description: partial 16S ribosomal RNA
Rfam family: Bacterial small subunit ribosomal RNA
Source: RNAcentral
GAUGAACGCUGGCGGCGUGCCUAAUACAUGCAAGUCGAGCGAACAGAUAGGAGCUUGCUCCUUUGACGUUAGCGGCGGACGGGUGAGUUACACGUGGAUAACCUACCUAUAAGACUGGGAUAACUUCGGGAAACCAGAGCUAAUACCGGAUAACAUAUUGAACCGCAUGGUUCAAUAGUGAAAGGCGGCUUUGCUGUCACUUAUAGAUGGAUCCGCGCCGUAUUAGCUAGUUGGUAAGGUAACGGCUUACCAAGGCAACGAUACGUAGCCGACCUGAGAGGGUGAUCGGCCACACUGGAACUGAGACACGGUCCAGACUCCUACGGGAGGCAGCAGUAGGGAAUCUUCCGCAAUGGGCGAAAGCCUGACGGAGCAACGCCGCGUGAGUGAUGAAGGUCUUCGGAUCGUAAAACUCUGUUAUCAGGGAAGAACAAAUGUGUAAGUAACUGUGCACAUCUUGACGGUACCUGAUCAGAAAGCCACGGCUAACUACGUA